GUGAGCAGUGUGGAUGAGUAGUGUGGGUGAGCAGUGUACUUCAGUGUGGGUGAGUGGUGUGGGUGAGCAGUGUGGGUGAGUGGUGGGUGUGGGUGAGCAGGGUGGGUGAGCAGUGUGGGUGAGCGGUGUGAGUGAGCGGCGUGGGUGAGCGGUGUGGGUGAGCAGUGUGAGUGAGCAGUGUGGGUGAGCAGUGUGGGUAAGCAGUGUAGGUGAAGCGGUGUGGGUGAGUGGUGUGGGUGAGCAGUGUGGGUGAGCAGUGUGGGUGAGCAGUGUGGGUGAGCGGUGUGAGUGAGCAGCGUGUGUGAGCGUUGUGGGUGAGCAGUGUGAGUGAGCAGUGUGGGUGAGCAGUGUAGGUAAGCAGUGUGGGUGAGCGGUGUGGGUGAGCGGUGAGGAUGAGCAGUGUGGGUGAGCAGUGUGGGUGAGCAGUGUGGGUGAGCAGUGUGGGUGAGCAGUGUAGGUAAGCAGUGUGGGUGAGCGGUGUGGGUGAGCGUGUGGAGUGAGCAGUGUGGGUGAGCAGUGUGGAUGAGCAGUGUGGGUGAGUAGUGUGGGUGAGCAGUGUACUUCAGUGUGGGUGAGUGGUGUGGGUGAGCAGUGUACUUCAGUGUGGGUGAGUGGUGUGGGUGAGCAGUGUGGGUGAGUGGUGUACUUCAGUGUGGGUGAGUGGUGUGGGUGAGCAGUGUGGGUGAGUGGUGUAGCGGUGGGUGAGUGUGAGCAGCGUGGGUGAGCGGUGUGGGUGAGCAGUGUGGUGAGCAGUGUGGGUGAGCAGUGUAGGUAAGCAGUGUGGGUGAGCAGUGUGGGUGAGCAGUGUGGGUGAGCAGUGUGGGUGAGCAGUGUGGGUGAGCAGUGUGAGUGAGCAGUGUGGGUGAGCAGUGUGAGUGACCAGUGUGGGUGAGCAGUGUGAGUGAGCAGUGUGGGUGAGCAGUGUGGGUGAGCAGUGUGGGUGAGCAGUGUGAGUGAGCAGUGUGGGUGAGCAGUGUGGGUGAGCAGUGUGAGUGACCAGUGUGAGUGAGC
Oncorhynchus tshawytscha (Chinook salmon) is the source of this 1011-nucleotide long non-coding RNA. The record is from Ensembl. NCBI's taxonomy places the organism in Eukaryota, Metazoa, Chordata, Actinopteri, Salmoniformes, Salmonidae.